RNAcentral lists this ribosomal RNA (301 nucleotides) under uncultured bacterium. RNAcentral describes it as "partial 16S ribosomal RNA". It matches the Rfam family "Bacterial small subunit ribosomal RNA", at positions 509 to 809 of the family's 1533-position model. The record is from RNAcentral.
CAGCAGCCACGGUAAUACAGAGGGUGCAAGCGUUAAUCGGAAUUACUGGGCGUAAAGCGCGCGUAGGUGGUUUGUUAAGUUGGAUGUGAAAUCCCCGGGCUCAACCUGGGAACUGCAUCCAAAACUGGCAGGCUAGAGUAGGGCAGAGGGUGGUGGAAUUUCCUGUGUAGCGGUGAAAUGCGUAGAUAUAGGAAGGAACACCAGUGGCGAAGGCGACCACCUGGGCUCAUACUGACACUGAGGUGCGAAAGCGUGGGGAGCAAACAGGAUUAGAUACCCGCGUAGUCCCUGUCUCUUAUAA